This 3055-nucleotide unclassified non-coding RNA is filed under the name Leishmania donovani. Its description in RNAcentral is "gene:unknown". The record is from RNAcentral. Lineage: Eukaryota; Euglenozoa; Kinetoplastea; Trypanosomatida; Trypanosomatidae.
CCAGCAACGGUGGGCAGCGCGUGCGCACAGCGCUCGCAUAUUCGGGCCACGGGGCCUGCUUCAGGACGGCGCUGUUGCCUGGGGAGGGGAACGGACUCGCUCUCUUCGUCUUCUCCGUCCCCGUCGCUGCCACGGGGACGUGCCGGGGUGACGUGCACGCUCACCGCGUGAGGCGAGGUGUGCUUCGAGCGUCGGGCGAUCCGCGAAUCUCGCGCAGCAUACCGGGCACCACGCCGGGCCGGACGCCCUCAUGGCCAGCACCGGCGAGGGUGGAGGCUCUGGCGGGGGCGGGGGGCGCCGCAACACCAGCGGAGCAGCGGGCAGCACGCCAUCCGCGCUCCGCCUCGUCGCUGCCAGGCGCCCGCCGCUGCAGCGAUCCCCAGUGCAUGGACGGGGUGCCCGCGCGGGCCUGUGCGAGGAUGGCCGCCCGUCGUACCGUGAGCUCAGCAUCCCUGCUCCUCUGGUGUGGGACGGCUGCCGCCAAGCACCUCUUGUCUCAGCGUGCCGCAUCGUGUAUCGCGGUUUCGGGCGAUGUCGGCCUGGCGUCUGAGGCCGGCGACCAGGCGCGUGAUCCACGCAGUCGGCGCCGGCUCCUCUGCCACUGCCGAUCCGGCAAGCCUGCCAACCUCGCCGUGGUGCGCCCAUCCGCAAUGGCCACAGGCAGACUGAAAUGAGAGGCGCACGCGACGGGCCGGCAGCGCCAGCACUUGUGCCCAGAUACGUCCGCCGCAUGCCCUCCCCCACCGCUCGCGGGCGCCAGGUGUUUGCCCUCGGGCCCAUCGCGCGGGGGCGAGGACGGAGGGUUCCAGCCCGGUUGAGCCGCCGUUUCCCGCCGCACACCCCGGCGGCGCGAGUUGGUGUCUGUUCCCAUAGCCUGAGGAGUGGGUGCAACGCCGCUUGAUGUCUGAUCGAGAGCUUCCCGUGCCACCAGCGUCACUCUCAGGUGUGUAGCCCGGCGUGAAGUGCAUCCGCCGGGUAGGGUCGUCGCAGCAAAGCCAGGCCGUAGCCGCUGCAACCUCGUCCUGGAGAACAAGGGAGGGGGGCCUACACCUCUACGUAUGUCCUCCUGUAUGAGCGCGGAGACGCCACAGCCGUGCUUCUCUUUCCACACGAGACCGCUGAAAGCUCGGGAGGCCGCAUGUCCUACGGGCCUGUGGUGGUGGAAUGCGUCUCUUGCGGAGUGCAGACUUGUAUCGUAGAUUCGACGAGGAGGCGGGUCAGCCAACACCGUCUGGCAUCGCUCAACCCAUCGCAACUCCGCUGUGCAUAAAGCGCAAGCUCGGCCCAGGAUUACGCUCAACAUCACCGCAACGCAGCUAAAGCAGAGAAGCUGGAGGCGGAUGCGUCGGUCUGCUGAAUUGUCGGCAAGAUGCGUGGCGGGCUGGCACAAGCUUGAUCAUGGCUGCAAGUGCCUUCGGCACAUCACCCGCGCAGACCUCCUCUCCGACACCGAGAGUCCGCAGCCGUGUCCAAGGGGUAGGCUGCAGGCUGUUGGCCUCCUCGCAGGGUGAGCACCGAACGCUGAUACAACGGUGAGGUGGCUGGCGUCAUCAAAGAUAGGUAAAGGAGGGGGAAAAAGAAGCGAAAAGUUCGAUCGUCGCCAUCAGCAAUACAAAGACUGAGGAACAGAGCGGUGUGCGUGGGCGCGUGUGGAUACGUGCCCUCGCAACGAAAGGAAUUUCUUGUUUCAGUUUUCUUCCGUCGAAGAGGUCAAAUGGGGAAAAGAGAGCGCAACUUUUUUUCAUACGCUGUAUGGCCCUCUUUUUUUUUAUUCUCACUUGCAUCGUUGCCUGUACGCAAGGCACUGUGUGCGCGUGUCGUAGGUCUUGUAUGAUGGCGAAGAAGUCUUCACCGUGCUCUGUUUGAUUUAAUUUUCUUUUUUAUCUGCAAUGUUGAGUUGGCCUGUGUGUCGGCCUUCUUCCUCGUUUGCAGGUUCAGGGGAGUCGUCAAAAUGGCUUCAGUCGUUGGGAAGAGCAAGCCUUGGAAAGGCGCACGGGAGAGGUUGCGAGACAAACGGCCUCGAGGAUGGCCAAGAGUCAAGUGGCCGGAGGUGAUGUCGCUCACACCUGUAGAGUGAGCCGCCGACUUGUUUGCUUGCGGUACGGCAACUGCACUUUGGGCGGGAAUAGUGUGGGAAAGGUAAAGUGAGAAGAUAGAAAGUGGACGAAUACGGUGAGCGUCGGGGCAUGAGGAAUGUGUGGGAGAGCAAAAGUGUGCGUGUCUAGUGUCCCGCGUCCCCCUAAGUGUCGACUUCUCCCCUUUUCCCCUCCUUCAGCUUCCCAGACCACCACCACCACCGCCUCAGCUUCGUUCUUUACAGCCUACUACACACCUCCCUCUCCUUUUCACCUCAAAAAACGCGCAAUUUCUUAACUAUCUAUAUGUGCAUACAUAUACCGGCGGCUAUUAGGGCUUCGUAGUCUUUCUUUCCCUCUCUCCCUCCCCGCCCCAAUGCGCCACGAAUGAGGUGACGUGGGGUGGUGGCGACGGGAACGGCGAGCGGCGCCGGGAGGAGGAAAAGACGGCCAGCAAUCAAGUCUGACACUCACACCAAGGUACACACAGGCGGAGAGGAAUGAGUUGGAAGGGGAAGGUGGGGGUCUUCUUACACCUCGCUGUGUUUUUCUCUCGCUUUCAUAUGGAAGCCAAAGGCCCCUCCCCCUCUAACAAAAAAAAAAUGACGGGGAUCACAACAGAAUACGGGCCUUGUGUAUUACCUCUGCUCUCCUCUGCUUUUAUUCUUUUCAAACUUCUUCUUUAGUUUUUCUUUUUUCGGUUUUUUUUGGGGGAGAGGAGGUGGGAGUGGGUGGGGGUGGGGUGGGGGCUUUCUGCCUUUUUGUGCGUUUGAGAGUACCUGAACGCGGCGAACGAAAGAAACGUGCGCGCGGAAAGAAAUGUGUGCGCUUCACGCGUUGCACUUUUUUCUUGUUGUCUGCCUAGAUGUCAAGGAUGAUGGGGCCGUUUUCUUCUCUGCGUGGUGUGUGAGGGCACCUUGUCUUUCUCACGCGCACUUUGCAGGUGUUCGAAUCGGUCAUGAGUACCCUCGCAUUCUUUU